This 253-nucleotide ribosomal RNA is filed under the name uncultured bacterium. RNAcentral's name for it is "partial 16S ribosomal RNA". It matches the Rfam family "Bacterial small subunit ribosomal RNA", at positions 524 to 776 of the family's 1533-position model. The record is from RNAcentral.
UACGGAGGGGGCUAGCGUUGUUCGGAAUUACUGGGCGUAAAGCGCACGUAGGCGGCUUUGUAAGUUAGAGGUGAAAGCCCGGGGCUCAACUCCGGAAUUGCCUUUAAGACUGCAUCGCUAGAACGUCGGAGAGGUAAGUGGAAUUCCGAGUGUAGAGGUGAAAUUCGUAGAUAUUCGGAAGAACACCAGUGGCGAAGGCGACUUACUGGACCACCAUUGACGCUGAGGUGCGAAAGCUUGGGGAGCAAACAGG